GUGCUUGCUUCAGGAGUACAUAUACUAAAAUUGAAAUGAUACAGAGAAGAUUAGUAUGACCCCUGCAUAAGGAUGACAUGCAAAUUCAUGAAGCAUUACAUAUUUUU
Molecule: small nuclear RNA, 107 nt
Organism: Saimiri boliviensis boliviensis (Bolivian squirrel monkey)
Lineage: Eukaryota; Metazoa; Chordata; Mammalia; Primates; Cebidae
Source: Ensembl